AACUCCCCCAGGGCGGAAACGCAGCAAGGGUA
This 32-nucleotide small RNA is filed under the name Curtobacterium sp. ER1/6. RNAcentral describes it as "Metazoan signal recognition particle RNA". The record is from RNAcentral. Lineage: Bacteria; Bacillati; Actinomycetota; Actinomycetes; Micrococcales; Microbacteriaceae.